CCCUUAGAUGUCCUGGGCUGCACGCGCGCUACACUGAUGUGUCCAGUAAGCACCUAACCUCUUCCGAAAGAAACGGGUAACCUUUGCAAAGCACAUCGUGAUGGGGAUAGAUUAUUGCAAUUAUUAGUCUUGAACGAGGAAUUCCUAGUAAGCACAAGUCAUCAGCUUGUGUUGAUUACGUCCCUGCCCUUUGUACACACCGCCCGUCGCUCCUACCGAUUGAAUGUUCCGGUGAGCUCUUCGGACUGCGCGGUCUGCAGUUUCUGCGUUCCGUGCGGAAAGUUGCGCAAACCUUAACAUUUAGAGGAAGGAGAAGUCGUAACA
Molecule: ribosomal RNA, 324 nt
Filed under: uncultured eukaryote
Lineage: Eukaryota
Description: partial 18S ribosomal RNA
Rfam family: Eukaryotic small subunit ribosomal RNA
Source: RNAcentral